Molecule: ribosomal RNA, 482 nt
Filed under: uncultured bacterium
Lineage: Bacteria
Description: partial 16S ribosomal RNA
Rfam family: Bacterial small subunit ribosomal RNA
Source: RNAcentral
GAUGAACGCUGGCGGCGUGCUUAACACAUGCAAGUCGAACGAUGAUCCGGUGCUUGCACCGGGGAUUAGUGGCGAACGGGUGAGUAACACGUGAGUAACCUGCCCUUAACUCUGGGAUAAGCCUGGGAAACUGGGUCUAAUACCGGAUAUGACUCCUCAUCGCAUGGUGGGGGGUGGAGAGCUUUUGUGGUUUUGGAUGGACUCGCGGCCUAUCAGCUUGUUGGUGAGGUAAUGGCUCACCAAGGCGACGACGGGUAGCCGGCCUGAGAGGGUGACCGGCCACACUGGGACCGAGACACGGCCCAGACUCCUACGGGAGGCAGCAGUGGGGAAUAUUGCACAAUGGGCGGAAGCCUGAUGCAGCGACGCCGCGUGAGGGAUGACGGCCUUCGGGUUGUAAACCUCUUUCAGUAGGGAAGAAGCGAAAGUGACGGUACCUGCAGAAGAAGCGCCGGCUAACUACGUGCCAGCAGCCGCCGCGG